GGGGUGUGCUCAGAGCAGGGGGUCUGAAGAAUGGCUCCUGUUAAUAACACACCCAAACAGGAAUCUGGGGUCAUCUGGGGGGCACAAAACUAUAUCCACCCUAAAAACAAGUUCCCUACAUGU
Small nucleolar RNA from Otolemur garnettii (small-eared galago), 123 nucleotides. Lineage: Eukaryota; Metazoa; Chordata; Mammalia; Primates; Galagidae. The record is from Ensembl.